This is a non-coding RNA of Parasteatoda tepidariorum (common house spider), 1407 nucleotides long. NCBI's taxonomy places the organism in Eukaryota, Metazoa, Arthropoda, Arachnida, Araneae, Theridiidae. The record is from RefSeq and is a predicted model, not a curated record.
UUCAUUUUCAAGAUAGGACAGAGUUAUGACGUUGAUUGAGCUGUCUUGCAACAAAGUUCUGAUAUGACAGAUAAAGUGACAGACUUGCGUCAGCUUUUAGAUUAUUUCAGACUUUCUUCUAAGCCUGUUUUAAGACCAUGGGAAGUAGGCAGCUCUCCACUAUCACGAUCACCAUCUCUAGAGAAGUCUGCAGACACAAAACAGCAUGAGAUUAAGAAGCCUAUUUUCGAUACACCUUCUCUAACAGACGCAAACAAAAACGAUGUUAAAGUCGAUGCAAAUACUACCGAAUGAUGAUGCGGAAAUUUGUUUGUCCGCGGCUGAAAUAUCCAUUACGAGAAAGAUUCUAAGGACCCAACUAUUGGUUUCCUCCCCAUUGAGUUGAAGUUUAGCGAAAGAACGGUGACUCUCCUCUGUAUUCGGUGGAAUCUUUCGAACACCUCCAUCUUCCAGAAAAUCUGUAAAAAGUAACAUGCGAUGGGCUUUAAUGCUACUUCCAAGAGUAAAAAAACAACUCUUCCAACUUUAGUAGCGGGUUCUCCGGUCAAUGUAAUAGCACGAUCGCAGAGUGACACUGGUAAAACGACAGCUUUCGUUUUGUCUAGUUUAGCAAGAACACAUUCGGAGUUACAUUACGACUAGGUUUUGAUAUUAGCACCUACUUAUUAGUUUGCCCUGUUGAUUGGCGAGGUGGCGAAAAACAAUGGCGCAAUUUUGCGAAGGGAUUGAAUUCCGAAUGGCUGUUAUAGGCUAGAACAUGCCAAGAGGUUCGACAAUGAUGGAGCAUUUUGUGAUCGGAACGCCUGUAAAAGUGUUUCAUUGGACUGGGGGAAAGCGAUUUUUCGAUUUGAAGAAGCUGGGAAUUUUCGUUUUGGAUGAAGCUGAUGUCAUGAUUUCGACUUAAGGGCAUCAUGAUCAAUGUUUAUGCAAUUACCGCAUCGUGUCUAAAAGUUGUCAAAUGAUGCUGUUUUCUGCCCCUUGCUCCCCUAAUGUGUUUUGCAGGAAUAAUUAUAACUGAACCCUCCUGCAGCUGAAGACGGAACAAUGGAGGCUAGAAAAUGUCAAGCAGCUCUGUGUCAUGUGUUACACCAACGAAGGCAAAUAUUCAGAUUUGUCCAAUACCUAUGGUUUACUAUCACUCAGUCAGGCUAUUAUAUUUUACCGAACAGGAAGACCUGCAUCUUGGUUGCCCAGCCGACUGCCCUGACGAAUAUUCCGUUUGUUAUUUAUCCGGAGAAUUAGAGCUCAAUCAAUGACUGGGUGACAUGACUUGCUUCGAAGAACGGAAAGAAACGAUAUUUUGUGGAACCAUGUAAGGUUUGUCUGGCGUAGAAAAAAAGAGUUGUAAUAUUGCUUUUAUGAUGGAAAUUGAAAAAAAAAUUGCAAAUGUAAAUGAAUAAAGUUCUA